This 442-nucleotide ribosomal RNA is filed under the name uncultured bacterium. Its description in RNAcentral is "partial 16S ribosomal RNA". It matches the Rfam family "Bacterial small subunit ribosomal RNA", at positions 338 to 795 of the family's 1533-position model. The record is from RNAcentral.
CCUACGGGAGGCAGCAGUGGGGAAUAUUGGGCAAUGGGCGCAAGCCUGACCCAGCAACGCCGCGUGAAGGAAGAAGGCUUUCGGGUUGUAAACUUCUUUUAAGAGGGAAGAGCAGAAGACGGUACCUCUUGAAUAAGCCACGGCUAACUACGUUCCAGCAGCCGCGGUAAUACGUAGGUGGCAAGCGUUGUCCGGAUUUACUGGGUGUAAAGGGCGUGCAGCCGGGAAGACAAGGCAGAUGUGAAAUCCCGCGGCUCAACCGCGGAACUGCAUUUGAAACUGUUUUUCUUGAGUACCGGAGAGGUCAUCGGAAUUCCUUGUGUAGCGGUGAAAUGCGUAGAUAUAAGGAAGAACACCAGUGGCGAAGGCGGAUGACUGGACGGCAACUGACGGUGAGGCGCGAAAGCGUGGGGAGCGAACAGGAUUAGAUACCCUUGUAGUC